GACGAACGCUGGCGGCGUGCUUAACACAUGCCAGUCGAACGGAAAGGCCCUGCUUGCAGGGUACUCGAGUGGCGAACGGGUGAGUAACACGUGGGUGAUCUGCCCUGCACUUCGGGAUAAGCCUGGGAAACUGGGUCUAAUACCGGAUAGGAGCCAUUUUUAGGGUGAUGGUUGGAAAGUUUUUUCGGUGUAGGAUGAGCUCGCGGCCUAUCAGCUUGUUGGUGGGGUAAUGGCCUACCAAGGCGGCGACGGGUAGCCGGCCUGAGAGGGUGGACGGCCACAUUGGGACUGAGAUACGGCCCAGACUCCUACGGGAGGCAGCAGUGGGGAAUAUUGCACAAUGGGCGCAAGCCUGAUGCAGCGACGCCGCGUGGGGGAGGACGGCCUUCGGGUUGUAAACUCCUUUCGCUAGGGACGAAGCUUUUUGUGACGGUACCUAGAUAAGAAGCACCGGCUAACUACGUG
Molecule: ribosomal RNA, 465 nt
Filed under: uncultured bacterium
Lineage: Bacteria
Description: partial 16S ribosomal RNA
Rfam family: Bacterial small subunit ribosomal RNA
Source: RNAcentral